CAGCAGCCGCGGGAAUACGGAGGGUGCAAGCGUUAAUCGGAAUUACUGGGCGUAAAGCGUGCGUAGGCGGUUCGUUAAGUCUGUUGUGAAAGCCCCGGGCUCAACCUGGGAAUGGCAAUGGAUACUGGCGAGCUAGAGUGUGUCAGAGGAUGGUGGAAUUCCCGGUGUAGCGGUGAAAUGCGUAGAGAUCGGGAGGAACAUCAGUGGCGAAGGCGGCCAUCUGGGACAACACUGACGCUGAGGCACGAAAGCGUGGGGAGCAAACAGGAUUAGAUACCCGCGUAGUCCCUGUCUCUUAUAC
RNAcentral lists this ribosomal RNA (301 nucleotides) under uncultured bacterium. RNAcentral describes it as "partial 16S ribosomal RNA". It matches the Rfam family "Bacterial small subunit ribosomal RNA", at positions 509 to 807 of the family's 1533-position model. The record is from RNAcentral.